CCCGUGAAGUAAUUCUUAACCAAAGAGUAGGCUACUGAACAGCUGAAAAUUAUAACACAAAUGGCGCGCCAGGAUUUUGCUAGAGAACUAUGUCACUAAUAGAUAUGACACCAAGAUCUUACCUAUUGUUGGCAAAACACUUCACACACCUCCAUUGGGAGAGGUAGAAACCAGACUUCUAUUCUAUAUCCAACAGAAAAAUUUAGGUCAAGGCGUGGGAAAAACAGUAGGAGAAGAUGUAGCUCUAUUGGAAUUCUACCCAACAACAGAUAGAAAUUGAAUUUAGUAGUAAAUCACCUUCAAAAUAGGUGGKUGAACAAAACCUCUGGCCGU
This 333-nucleotide ribosomal RNA is filed under the name Pectinopygus bassani. Its description in RNAcentral is "partial 12S ribosomal RNA". Lineage: Eukaryota; Metazoa; Arthropoda; Insecta; Psocodea; Philopteridae. The record is from RNAcentral.